Molecule: ribosomal RNA, 450 nt
Filed under: Amphistegina lobifera
Lineage: Eukaryota; Foraminifera; Rotaliida; Amphisteginidae
Description: SSU rRNA
Rfam family: Eukaryotic small subunit ribosomal RNA
Source: RNAcentral
GUGGAGCAUGUGGCCUAAUUUGACUCAACGCGGGGAAUCUUACUAGGUCCGGACCGAUUCUAUGAUCGUCGUACUGUGGGGUGCUACGUGAUUACUGGAUGAGUGGUGCAUGGCCGUUCUUAGUUCGUGGUGUUAAUUGUCUACUUAAUUGUCAUUGGUUCUCGUAUCUUACGGUACAGAACUGAUAACGAACGAGAUCGAGGCCCGUGGUUGUGUCGUUGGUUAUUAUUGUGUGCGGCAUUAACUACGGGGAUCGCGUAAUACUCCACGGUACGAUCGAAAGACUCGGCAAUAACAGGUCUGUGAUGCCCUCAGAUGUUCUAGGCUGCACACGUGCUACAUUGUGGUUUCGCGUAGUGUGUGUGUGCAUAGAACUGAUAAGAUCCCCCGCACCGAGUCUCAAUUAAUCACUUGGUUGGACUCACCGUUUGUAAUUAUUCGGUAUACUAA